UCUGGAUGACAUAUCUGAUAUAAAGAGCAUUUUAAAAAUACCAACUAGAAAACAAUUGGCUAGUCAAUUUGGAACUGAAAACAUUCAGUAUGGUGAAUAUCCACCUGAUAUGCAACAAGUUUUGGGAGCAGCAAUUAAUUUGGAAGAGCUGCAAACGAAAGUAAGAUACUUAGAAAUUUGUCAUUAAUAAUGGGAGUAUAUAGCCUUAUUAUAAAUUAAUU
Long non-coding RNA from Centruroides sculpturatus (bark scorpion), 221 nucleotides. RefSeq lists it as uncharacterized. Lineage: Eukaryota; Metazoa; Arthropoda; Arachnida; Scorpiones; Buthidae. The record is from RefSeq and is a predicted model, not a curated record. The transcript has 3 exons.